UUGGUCAAGAUUGGCAGCACACAUACUAAAAUUGGAAUGAGACAGAGAAGAUUAGCAUGGCCCCU
This 65-nucleotide small nuclear RNA is filed under the name Sus scrofa (pig). Lineage: Eukaryota; Metazoa; Chordata; Mammalia; Artiodactyla; Suidae. The record is from RNAcentral.